UGAGGAAUAUUGGUCAAUGGACGAGAGUCUGAACCAGCCAAGUAGCGUGCAGGAUGACGGCCCUAUGGGUUGUAAACUGCUUUUGUUUGGGAAUAAUCGACAUUACGUGUAAUGUUUUGCAUGUAUCAUUCGAAUAAGGACCGGCUAAUUCCGUGCCAGCAGCCGCGGUAAUACGGAAGGUCCAGGCGUUAUCCGGAUUUAUUGGGUUUAAAGGGAGUGUAGGCGGUUGGUUAAGCGUGUUGUGAAAUGUAGAUGCUCAACAUCUGACUUGCAGCUCGAACUGGCUGAGUUGAGUACACAAAACGUAGGCGGAAUUCAUGGUGUAGCGGUGGAAUGCUUGGAUAUCAUGAAGAAGUACGAUUGCGAAGGCAGCUUACGGGAGUGUUACUGACGCUUAAGCUCGAAGGAGCGGGUAUCGAACAGG
RNAcentral lists this ribosomal RNA (424 nucleotides) under Verrucomicrobiota bacterium. RNAcentral describes it as "Verrucomicrobia bacterium partial 16S ribosomal RNA". It matches the Rfam family "Bacterial small subunit ribosomal RNA", at positions 355 to 776 of the family's 1533-position model. Lineage: Bacteria; Pseudomonadati; Verrucomicrobiota. The record is from RNAcentral.